GAUGAAGAACGUAGCGAAAUGCGAUAAUUAAUGUGAAUUGCAGAAUUCCGUGAAUCAUCGAGUCUUUGAACGCACAUUGCGCCUCAUGGCAUUCCGUGAGGCAUGCCCAUCUCAGCGUUAGAAAAUAUUGUCAAAUUUUCGUGUUGUGCUAAAAUUUGGAUCAUGUCAAGGAAGCCAUUACUAUUAUUGUGAUCGCUCUUUGGAAAUUGAUAGGUCUUUGAGUUGCUACUCAUAGAACGUGAUGAAUCUUUCUUCGUUCUAUUGUAAUUCACUCUGGUAGUCCUAAAACUUGUAUGCCUGUGGCAUAUCUUGUAAUUUGACCUGAGAUUGGGUAGGGAUACCCGCUGAACUUAAGCAUAUCAAUAAGCGGAGGA
Molecule: unclassified non-coding RNA, 374 nt
Filed under: soil metagenome
Description: partial contains internal transcribed spacer 2 and large subunit ribosomal RNA
Rfam family: 5.8S ribosomal RNA (bases 1-120)
Source: RNAcentral